CCGUUCUUUGGGACUGAAAGUUCCUGGCUCGGACACUAUGAUGUCACAUGUGCAUUUUCCUUCUCGGUGCUUCCAUUAAUAAGACUAUUUAAAACCUCCAACCACUGGAGAAAGCAGAAAGAGCUUGGCCUCAGCCGUUAGCCCACCUCUGCUGCCAAGCAGUGUUGCAGCCCUGAGGGAGGAACUGUCCUCAUCUGUGCUGAAGGAGAGUCCCAGCAGGGGCCCCCAGGUCCUGCCAGCCUGAAGGCGCCACCACGGUAGAAACUCCACAAACCCUCUCAGGGUGAGAUCUGUAAAGUGAACUCACUAUAAAGUGAACUCCCACCAAGUCUAGCAUUGCUGAACUCCUCAACUGCAGUGCUUUGACUCUUUCAGGUUUCCACAAAGAUAUUCCAGAAUCCUUUUUUUUUAAUUAUAUAAAUGCUAUAGCAAAAUAGAAAAAAAAAAGAAGAAGAAGAAGAAGAGAAGGAGCCGGAACCAGGUGUAUGCACCUCUCUUCUGUUUCUGCAUCCUUUCACUCCUGGUGUGGCGCGUGGACCAGCAGCAUUGAUAUCACCUAAUCUUUUGAAGAGCCUGUAAUGGCACUAGAAAAAUGCUUACUGGAGUCAUGGAUGACAGUGACUGAAAGCAGCCCAGCUGGUGUCCCCGCGACCCUCCGUGUGACUAGAGAGAAACACUGAUUCAUAGGAAGCACCGGUGGGCACUGGAAAGCCCGGGUUCCCCUUGUCUUCCACUUCCACCACUCAGAAGAGUUUUCUCGAAAACUGACCAAAUCAUCCAGCAAAAGAUGCAGCCUCAGACUUUCAGCCUAGACACUGAUCCCCUCAUCUGGUUGAAUGUGUCGAGGUAACUAAGAAUAGCUUGGACCAAGCAGGGCAUGUUUCUAAAGCUGCAAUUGUGGCAAUGACCACAACUCCUGUUAUCGGGCCGUGCAGUUCCGCACAAUAUCCGGCACAGCUGUGGGCUCUGGCAGCAGCCAGCCUAGCGCUGGCGGCUUAAUUAGGCUUUUUAUCUUUACAUUUGUCUGAGGACAUCUGAAACCUUCAGUGUGGCCUGUCACUAAUUAGGUGACUAAUUAAAUAGUCAGUGCUUCCUUGCUGAUCUCAGAGCUCAACCGCAAUGGACAGGUUUGUGAUUGUGACUCCCCGUCCUGUCGGUCUCUGCACGUGUGCGCCUCGCAAUUGCCCUGUUCAUUGCGCUGUGCAAAAACGGCAUGGGAGCGAGGCCCAGGGCAUGUGCAGGGCCGUCCUCCGAUGUGCCCAAGCAGCAGGCAGCACGGACAUCCACAGGGGGGCAUAUGGGAGAUGGACAUCCACAGGGCAUACGGGACAUCAGUUCUGGUGCAGAGGCUGGUCUGGUGGCCAGAGCAGAGGGGACGGUGGAAGGAGCUUUACCUGCCAGGCUCAGAGUCUCAGUCUCCCCAGGCAGCAAGAGUUGACAUUCUGCCACCAGAGAAUAAGGAUCCAGAACUCACCCUGGUGUCACUAAUCACAAUGGGGUUUCCUAUUCGACUCCAAUAUUUAAAUGUAAUUAAUGUUAAAUAAAAGCACCUUCAUUUACUGAAA
Molecule: long non-coding RNA, 1565 nt
Organism: Homo sapiens (human)
Lineage: Eukaryota; Metazoa; Chordata; Mammalia; Primates; Hominidae
Exons: 2
Source: RefSeq, a predicted model, not a curated record